RNA transcript from Mirounga angustirostris (Northern elephant seal), 18110 nucleotides. It is a transcript of the gene named ADP-ribosylation factor 1-like, with no coding region annotated. The record is from RefSeq and is a predicted model, not a curated record. NCBI's taxonomy places the organism in Eukaryota, Metazoa, Chordata, Mammalia, Carnivora, Phocidae. The transcript has a single exon.
UCUGCCUUGUGGUCUUAAGCUAAGUGCCCAGGGAUAUAAUUAUAUAUGCUAGAGCCAGAAUUCAAACACAGUCUUACUCCAAGUCUGAGCUCAACUCACCGCCCUCACCUAUAAUCAGGAUACCUUGUGCCUAUCUUGGCACUUACUGCUCUUGUAAUGUUAUGUUUAUUUGUGGGAUUAUAUAAUACAUUUUUUUCCUACUGUAUUGGUAACCUUUAGGAGGGCUGAGAUCCUGUCUUUUGGUUCAUCAUUUUUGCUUAGCUUCUAAGUGCCUAACAUCAAGCAGGCUCAUUGCAUAUAUUUUUUCAUGUGUAAAGUGGAGUUAAUAAUACAGUAUUUUUAUACUAUUGCACUACACUGUAGUACAGUUGCACUGUUAUAAGAACUGUGAGAGGGUGCACACUAGUUCACGUCCAUUGGUAAGUAGUCAUUAAUGGAGUGGCUUUAAUUAUAAUAAACAGGCUUAGAGGUCACUUAGCUUAAGACCACAAGGCAGAGUCUCAUCUGGUAUUUAAGGCUCUUAACUUCUAUUCCUUUCUUCUUUUUGUUACCUAUACUGAAUAUAGUUAGAAAAGCAAAUCUGGGAAAAUUUACUGCUUUCCAGAGCUGAUUUCUUAACUAGACAGACAGCUAAAGUAUAAGCUUCAUCCUUGCUAAGUGUUGGUUUCAUCCUUGAGACCAAGACAGAUCCAGAGUCUUUACAAUACUGUGGUAGUUAACGUAACUCUCUGAACUAGUCUCUUGGGCACGGACCAUUAGGAAAGGCUAAGGUAAAUAUUUUCAAAAUAACAUGUAGUUUGAAGGUGUCGUUGUUAAUGUCCUUAUUCAAUUACAGCAGGAGGUGAGUUGGUCUUUAAGAUGAAUUUGUUUCUACAUGUAUUCCAUGUCGUCUUGUAUAUAUUUUGUGUGGUGCAGAUAGGAUUUAUUAUUUCAAAUCAUAUCCUUGAACUUAGUUCAGCAGUGUUAUCUCUAGGGUAUAGAGAUGCAUUUGGCAAGUGAUUAGCAAUGUAUUCUGGUAUGCAAGAACCUAGCUGUAGAAUAAAAAUCGAGUUAUAAAAUUAAUCUAUAAAAUAGUCACAGUUAAAAUGGUGAAGAGACCAGAAUUAAUCUUAAGAAAGCACAAGACAAAAUGCAGAUAUCCUAAAAUCAAAAAUAGUAGUGUUCAUUAAAGUGACAAUCAAUUAUUUAAUUCCAAGGACAGACACAUUAUAGUCUAAAAAUAUAUUUCAGAUUCACAAUUGACUAGCUAUUUUAUGUGGCAGAAUACCAGCUUUGCAUAUUUAUUAAAAUUAUUCAUAACUGCGUAGCUGCCCAGAUGAACUGUUGAGUUCUUGUUCCUUGAUUCAAUAUAUUAUCUUGUCCAUUUUAUCAUGGCAUGGUAAUAGAAAUUUGUCUAAAUUUUAGAAUGAUCCAUGGAAUAUUUUCAGUAUCAGCAUCUCCCAAAUACAUAUUUUAUCAUUUCUGUUUUGCCUAAUGUGUUCUUUUACAUAGCUUUAGGAAAAAUCAUCUAUCUCCAUAGGAAAAUUACAAGGUUUUUUUUCUUUAGGGGAUAUAUUUCAGACAGAAUUCUUUAUUUAAUAUGAAAAGGUACUGUAUCAUCAAUCUUUAGGUAUCAAAAUAUUCCUGUUACCUAAAAAUUUGGACAAGAUGUGAAUUCUUCAGGAUAGUAGAGAAACAGUAGAAGUUCAUAAUCUUUAUGUAGAUUUUAGGGAGAACUGUGUUUGCUUUAGAUAUUAUUUGUUGAGUAGGGUGUUGCUGUGGUCAGUCAGUGUGACAGUGUAGUUGGGAUGGUGAGUUCUGGAGUCAGACUACCUUCAUUUCAUAUCCUAAGUCCACCACUUACGAUUUAUUUUUUAAAAUUUGGAGCAGUGAUUAUCUCUCUUCUGGAAGGUUGAAUAAUAGUGUCUGCCUAAUAGGGUUGUUAAAGAAGAUUCUAUGAGAUAAUGCAUGUAGAGUACUGAGAACUGUGUUGGACACAUAGUAAACACUCAAUAAAUGUCAAUGAAUAAAUAGUGUUAAUCAUAAUACCAUAUCAUGGAAUGCCACGAAGUGGGGGCUAUGGUUUUAGCAAGAAUAUGCAUAAAGAGAUACUAAUCUCCAAUAACACGUCUCUAAAUUGGUAAAAACUUAGAGGAUGAUGUUAGGAAAGAAGAAUAAAACCUUUUUAGAUUAGAAUAUUAAUUAUACUGGAGUUCAGAGAAGCCUCAGACAAUCGAAUUUAGUCCCCUCUCUGUAUGGGUGGAAAGCACAGCUGUAAAAGGUUAAGUGACCUCCCCAGGAUUACCCAGCUAGGAUAGCAGACUCCAGCCACGUCUUCUGGCUCAAAGUUGAGUGCUCCAUCUGUUUUAAAACACUGUCUUAUCCAUAGGAACAUUCAUUGAACCUGUCCUAGAUGUCAUUGUUUAUAUAUGUGGCUUCUUAUCCAGUAUAUAACACCUCCUUGCUCCUCUUGGUUUGGCAUCCUAGUUGUUGUUAAUCCUCUAGAAAUAGCUUUCUAUACACCCAAGAGUCAUGGAGAAAACAAUUGACCGUCCCCGAGCUAGCACUGCGUUCAGCGAGCAUGAGCAGCUCUAUCUGAAUGCCUCCACGGGACAAUCGCUAUAGCCCUGGGAAAAGGGAAUGUCUGUGAAGUUGUGGAGAAUUUCCCUGGAGAUCUCAUAAACUUCUAACAUGAAUAUGAAUCCUUUCUUCCUUAUAAAUCAGAGUCAUGUGUUAAAGGAGAUGUAUUAGAUGCUUCUGAGCUGUUACAUUUUAGUGGGUUCUAUAAAAUUCUCAAUAAAGGAAAGGUCAGUGUUUGUACCAUAAACAGUGUUCAUGAAGGCACGUUUACUCCCCCGCCCCCGUCCCUUUUGGGACUCCUGGAGUGUAUAUAGUACUCAAACUUGCUCUUCUUCGAAACUGCGCCACUGCCCACCACCUCCCAGAACCACCCCACUGCCCACCUGGGCGUCCUUUUUCUUAGAGGUCCUACCCGCCCUGGCCCUGGGACCAGCCCUUCCUGACAGGCGAAAAUGAAAAGAGGUGAUUUCACCUCGUUAACAGCAUGGGUUUAGGGGCUCCACCGCCUUCAGGCUCAGCUGCACUUUCGUAUGUGUACUUCAAGUUAAAAGGUUGUCGGCACACCAGUUUGUGGGGUCCUUCUUCUGUAUUUUCAUGGAGACCACGCGUGAGACUAAGAAAGACCAGUGGGUGACCUUUGCAUGCCGACGACACAGGUCGUCGUUCUGCUCGGCGAGAGGCGAUUCCUGUGACUUUUCUGGUUGUCAGCGGAGCUCCCGGCCCACCAGCCUCCGGUGCCACACGGUGGGAGAGCUAAUGGUCCCGCGCUGGUUCUGGCAGAGUGGUGUGGAGGCUUAAUUGAAGAAUAUUUUUAACCCAUUAUCAAGAGCAUUAGGAGGAAAAUGUUCAAAAAGUCUUGAUGCGGCUUGCCGCUCUUUCCAUUUAAGAAAGUAGAUCCCGACAUAAGCAAAUUAUAACCUGAAAUAGUAAUCCAUCUUUAUUUUCAAUCCCUUCAUCUUCCCAAGAUAAAGACUCUCCUCUCUGAGGGCAUGAAAAGGGGCAGAAUCAGCUAGACUGUUACAGAUGAUUCUCUCCUCCUGUUGUACGUGAACACAUAGUGCCCCUUGUUUAGAGCAGGGUGGCUUUGAAUGGACUGUCCUGACUAAAUUGUUCAGAAGGAUAGUGAACAUGUCUGCUAGCCUAGUCCUGGCACAGAGCGCGGUGGCUGGCAGGUACUUACAGGUGUCCAGGCCGCGUGAAGUGCAGGCCACAGUCCAAGGAACCUGAGUGGGCUUUUCCUUAUAUCAUGAUUUCUGGCUCCUUUUUUUUUUUUUAUACUGAGUCAGUAUGCUUUCAUCCUUUCAAACUUAGAGGGGUUUUUGAGGGAUUGCAAAGAGAUGCGCCCCAAAUUAUCACCACAGCCAGCAUCUUAGUUGUGGAUUAUCAUCAAAUUUAAUCUUAUCUUUAUCUCCACGGAAUAGUCUUUGGUUUGAUUUCUUUGAUUAUUUUGUCUUUUAAUUUCAAAAUGGCAAGAAAAAGUGCUUCCAGUUUUUUCUUUAAUUAAAAUAAGUAGAAAUUAGCAUAUGAACUAUCAGAGAAAGACUAAUUGAAGUCUUGAAGCUUCUUUGCUUUAAAAUACACAGAAUUUCAACAGGAUUUUCAUUUAUUGAUUCUCCUUCUCUGUAUUCUCGGAUUUUUUUUUUAAUUUUGUCAGAUAACCAAAAAUAUACUUCUAAAGCUGUGACCAAAAAAUUGCCAAAGUUAAAGUGCCCAAGAGUCUUUUGAGACUUAAGACAGGUUACAGGCGCCUGGUUGGCUCAGUCAGUUAAGCGUCUGCCUUCGGCUCAGGUCAUGAUCCCGGGGUCCUGGGAUCAAGCCCCACAUCAGGCUCCCUGCUCAGUGGGGACUUUGCUUCUCCCUCUCCUUCUGCUGCUCCCCCUGCUUGUGCUUUCUCUCGUUCUCUCUCCUGCUCUCUGUCAAAUAAAUAAAUAAAAUCUUUAAAAAAGAGAGAGUUAAGACAGGUUAGAAUGUAUACAUGAAGGAUGGUUUAAAAAGUGGCAGUGUAAUUUUAUUAGGAAAGUGAACAUGGAGAAGUCUUUGUGGAAUCAGUAAGAAGCUAAGCUAUAUUAUAUUAUUCAACAAAAAUUUAAGGUAACUUCUCUUUCAAGUAUGUGGUAGUUGUUCAUGAUGUCUCUUAAAUAUUGGAACACAAGGAUUUCUAGUCUUUUGUUCCAUCAGAAAUUCAUUCAAAAAAUUCACCAAUAUUUCUCAAAGAAACGUGCUACCUAUGGGUACAUGUGGUAAAAUGGCCAGUGAAAAUGCUUUGCCUUAAUCUUGUUAACAUACAAAUGUCAGUCUGAUAAAUGCAGUAUCAGAUUAUACCAGUAUCAGAUCGUAUCAGCUGUAUGAGUGCUGCAGAAUGCUUUUGGUCUAAAUUUGUAGUUUACAGAAAAGCUGUUAUUUCAGAAUCUCUCUUGCCUCCUUGUAUGGUCAGUUCAUUUUAAGCAUCUGUCAAAGACACUUGCAAAAUGGAAAAGUUGCCCAUUUUUUGGCUGUGUGGACAAAAAAGAAAACAUGGAAAUGAUUGUGUAUGGGAAUCAGAUAUUCUGAAAGCCCUUUCACCAUGAAAGACUAGAUGCAGAAUAAAUCAGAGAAACUGACUUUUUAGAUGUUUUGUUGAACUUGGAAGAGAGUAAGGGAAAUCUCCAAAGGGGCAAAAAGUCUGUAUAGUAAUUGGAACCCGAAGGGGUGUGGUAAAAAGGCCAGGACUGCCCUACUCGCCAUACCUGUGUAAGGAAUUCACAGCUUAACUCCCUUGGGCAAAAAGAGAUCAAGAGGUCUGGGUAAUGUUGGAAGCCCAAAACUGAAACACUCUCAUAGAGUGAGAACAUUCACAAGGAGGUAUACCCUCAGAGAAAGUGAGAGCUGAAAAAAAAUUGAGCUCACCAGGAAAGGGAGUAGAUGAGGAAAAUGGUUUUUCCUGUUGCUCUAAGUGGAAGAAAAAUAGUUAUCAUUGUAUUCAUCAUCUCCUCUGACAGUCUGCUACUACAGGCUUAUUUUUGGAUGAGUCUGGGGUACAAAUUUACAAUUCUUACAGGGUCAUGGAAACCCUAACCUAAAAAAAUUUAAAUAACAAAUGUCCAGGCUGGCAGAACCCUCUGGUACCUGUUAGAUAUAAGCAUUAAGUCCUCUCUGGAGGAAAGCAUUAACAGUCCAGUUCCCUCAAAAAUUCCUCCAGAUUUAGUGUAUACAGGGUUACCAUAAAAAAUACCGAAUACUCAACACAGCAACCCAGGAAUUACCAAAUGGGGAAUAACACAAGCCAUAGGUCACCAAAGUCAACAAAAACAGUAAAUAGACUAGGUCCCUGAUGACCUAAGGACACUGGAAUGCUGAUUUUGAAUAUGAAACACAUGCACGGAAGUACAUAAAGAAAAAAAAUCAAGGCAGGAAUAAGAGACCAUCCAAAAUGUUUGGGAAGAUUUGAAAAGGAAGUGAAUAGAAUUACAAGGAAAAAAAUAGAAUCAUGAGACAUAAAAACUCAGUAGGUUGGUUAAGUAGAGGGUCACACACAGCUGAGGAGAGAAUGAAUGGAUUGGAAGAUCACGAGAGAUAUCACCCCACGUGAAGCCCAGAGAGACAAAGGAGGUGAGAAAUAGUCCAGAGUAAGAUGUAGGGAUGAGAGAAGGAAAGGAUGGAACACAGGUCAAUUUGGAAUUCCAAAUGUUAAAAUAUUGAAAAUGGGGGGAAUGGUCAAGAAUUGAAGGGUCUUGAAACUUCAUCAUAAUAACAAUUUAAUGAAUAAAUAAUGAAAAUUUUGUUUCUAUUAUAAUAAGCUUGCUACAGUUUCGCAGAUGCUCUUUGAAGAUGCAAGACUUCAGGGCCAGAUACAAAGGACUUUAUUACAGUGCAUUAAGCCUCGUGAGCUAUAUGUUCAAGCCUAUUCCCUGUGCUCCCCAAGUCACAUGGGGGUGAUGCAGAGUGGGUUGUGUAGGAAGUCUGAGGCACAUCCAGAGACCCCAGUCUUUUAAAAUGGACUGUAAGCAAAUCUGCUCUUUGGCCAGCAAAGAGAGACAUUAUUUUAUCUCCAGGAAAAUAAACAGAUCUGCUCUCUGUGCCAGAGGGGGAGACUCUAUCUUCUAAGGUUGUUUGCUCUGCAGACAUCCUUGUAAAGUUAUUUAGGGUGUAAAGAUAGAAUUUCCCAGAAAUGUUGAAAGAUUAGCAUGUUAAUAUAGAGUGAAUACACUGUAUACCAGGCAACACAAAUACAUAUUUAGACAUAUCAUGGUGGGAGGGCAGGACAUCAAAGACAAAAGAGGAGUCGUUAAAAGCAACCGGAGAGAAAAGAUAGUUCAAAUUGACAGGCUAGUUCUGGUUGCUUGUUUGGAAAAGCAAAGGGUCAAGAAUAACCAAGACCUUCCUAAGGAAGAACCAGAAGAGGAGAGAUGAGAGGUCUUGCCUUAUGGAGAUCAAGGUCUGUUACAAACCUUGAGUAAUGAAGUAUGAAGUAUGAGUAAUGAAGAGUAAUGAAGACUGAGGAAUUAGGGUAUUAGUGUAGACAAAGAAACCACUGGAACUGUAUAGAAAGCCCAUACAUGAUAUAUGCAUGCGUGCAAACUUGGUUUAUGGCAGCACGUGUGUUGCAGAUCAGUGGAAAGAGGAGGAACUGUCCCCUUAGCAAUGCAGUUGCAGGAUUAUACACGUGGAGGAAGAAAAAUGAAACCAGAUUGUGACAUGUAAAGAAAAUCAGUUCCAGGUAGAUUAAAUAUUUGAAUCUUUAAAUCAUGAAACCAACUUUUAAAAGGAAAGCAAAACUAUGGAAAUUUCAAUGAACCAAAAAAAAAAAGAGAGAAAUGAGUGAGCAAGAGAGAGCCUCUCUGGGAGCUGAAGGAAGAAACUGACAACAAAGGUGAUGUUGCUGAAUGCUCUCUAGCUGUAUGUGUGGAUGCAUGUGUAUCAGACUGUAUCACACACAUCGUGAUGGAAACUGUUGAUGAAGAUGAGGCUGCAAAUUUAAGACCUCAGGCAAAACCGGGAAAUGGAGGUGGGAGCGAAACCAACACAUGGCUCAGAGCAGUAGCCUCACGCCGCUGCCGCCGCCACCGAGGGUUUCUCUGGCCAGUGUUGCUCCCACCCGCCUACAGCAUGGGAAAUAUCUUCUCAGACCUCUUCAAGGGCCUUUUUGGCAAAAAAAAAAAAAAUGCGCCUUCUCAUGGUGGGCCUGGGUGCUGCGGGGAAGACCACCAUCCUGUACAAACUGAAGCUGGGUGAGAUCGUUACCGCCAUUCCCACCAUAGGCUUCACCAUGGAGACGGUGGAGGACAAGAAUAUCAGCUUCACCGUGUGGGUCGUGGGUGGCCAGGACAAGAUCCGACCUCUGUGGGGUCACUACUUCCAGAACACACAAGGUCUCAUCUUUGUGGUGGACAGCAACGACAGAGAGCGUGUGAACGAGGCCCAUGAAGAGCUCAUGUGGAUGCUGGCGGAAGAUGAGCUUAGGGUCCUGCUGGUGUUCGCCAACGAGCAGGACCUCCCCAGCGGCAUGAACGCGGCUGAGAUCACGGACAAGCUGGGGCGUGGUCCCUGCGCCACAGGAACUGGUACAUUCAGGCCACCUGUGCCACCAGCGGGAUGGGCUGUAUGAGGGACUGGACUGGCUGUCCAGUCAGCUCCGGAGCCAGAAGUGAGCCACGCCCCCGCCCCUCCUUCCACCCUGCUUUACUCUCAUGUGGUGUGAGUGCCAGAAGCUGUCUCCAUGGUCGGUCACAGUGUGCUUCACCAUGCUGUAAAUGUGCAGACACAGCCUGCAGCCGGGUUUUUAUUUAAUGUAAAUAGUUUUUGUUCCCAAUGAGGAAGUUUCUGGUACUCCUAUGCAAUAUUACUCAGCUUUUUUUAUUGUGAAAAGAGAAUCAACCCACUGUUCAGUACUGAGAAGGGAUGUUAGGCACACGGGGCCUCCAGGAGUCGCUGUGUCCAACCAGCUUGGCACGCCUCCUCUGGGCGUUAGAUCUGUGCUGAGAUCCAUUUUGGUGGUUGGUUUUUAACCUGAACUCAGUGCAUUUUUAAAAUCGUUACAAAUACAAGAUAAGGAGAACACUUGAACACACAGAAGGGAGAAACAUGCCUAGUGUCGGUUCUGCAGUGGCGGCCAGAGUCUAGCCCACCAGUGAUCUGUUGCCCGUCGGGAACAUGAGACACGGCAGAACCAGCCAUGGUCCAUUCUGCAUGGUCACGAUAGGGUCCCUGUGAUUGGCUCUGUCUCGGGUCAUCCUGCAUCCCCUAGCGUUUGUGCUUGUACUUGUGCUCACACAGCCGCCCAGGAGACAGGCUGGGGGCUGCGGUCACUGCUCACGGACUCCUUGGAGGGACCCCGGCCUUCCCUUGGGUCGGCGUGGGCACUCUGGCUUGUUCCAGGCUGCCUGGGGUCUCACCAGCAGGAGUGCAGGUGGGCGGGCCAUCACCCUAGAGCCUCAGCCCCGGGAACUCCUGUCUACAUGUGCUUUCACUCCCUCAGCCUGCAAGGGUCGGAUUUGCCACUGAAACAACGACCUCUACUGUUUUCUUUUGUAUUUUGAUAAACACUGAAGAAGCUGGAGCUGUUAAACUUUAUCUUGGGGAAAUCCUCAGAACUGGUUUAUUUGGUGUCGUGGAACUGCUUACUGCUUUCAACACACGAUUAAUAAUCAACUGUUUUGUAUACUCGUUUUCAGUUUUCAUUUUGACAAACGAGCACUGUACUUAUAGCUACUAGAAUAAAAUCUCUUAACUAUUAAAAAAAAAAAAAAAACGGGAAGUGGAAAAUUUGUGGACGUAAUUUCUUUAGCUGAGGGUGACCGCGGAGGUGACUUGGUACUCUGGGGGCUGACCAAGGCCUUCCAACGGACACAGGGUCUGUCCCUGCACUCUGGCAUUGAAACAUGCAAAUGCAAAGCCAUCCAAAGGAUCCUUUCUGAAACUUUAAGACCUAAGGACAGUGGUCAUAGGUUUUUAUAAAUGAGACCACCAGGCCUCCUGCACGAAGACUUUGUAUUCAGCUUUGUUUAAUGUAGAUUUGAAAUUAGCUUUUUCAUAAAAUAAAAGAAACCCAGAAUGCAAAAAAAAAGGGGGGGGGAAGCAUUUCUUAACACCAAGCGCAAAAAAACACAAACUGUGCAAAGGAAAAAAAUUGAUAAAUUCAACUGUAUCAAAAUAAAUGUUCACUUUAUCAAAAGGAUAUGCUUAACAAAUUGAAAAGACAAGCCACAGUGGGGAGAAGUAAUCUGCAGCACAUAUCGCUGAGGAUGGAUUAGUAUCUAAAACAGAUAAAGAAAUUAUAUGAAUAAAAUAACACUAGGUCAGAGGUAUGAAUAAACAUUUCAAUGAAAAGGAAACAUUAACGGUGAAGAAACAGGAAACACAAUCAGCCUCAUUAGUGAUCAGAGAACUACAAAUUAAAACCACAGUGAUACCAUUUUAUAUUUACCAUUUUGACAAGAUUAAAAUUUAGAACAGUACUGUUUGUGGGGAAGGAUGAGAAUAGCAGGGAUUCUCACAUACUUAUCAUCUCAUUCCCUUCAAAGACCCAGGCAGCCAAAUAAAGUCUGACAUUCCUUGUGUUGUAUUACAUGUGAGGAGAAAAGUAACUUAACCAAAAAGUUACUCUGCUUUCUUAAUAAACACCAAGUUAUCUUUGAUGCCAAAAUAUUCUCUGAGCAAAUCUUGAACAUGGGGACAGACUUGGUUUAUAUUUUCAAGGGGAAAGAAAGAUCUGCUGAGAAAGAUCUACAGCAUUACCAGAUGACACUGGUUUUGUUGUUGUUUUAAAUCUCAACCCCCAAGUUGAGUAGAUAAUUCAAAAGACAACGUUAAGGAAGAGUCUUCUCACAUAUAUUGUGGUUUUAUUUCUGUUGUAAUUGAAGUUGACGAACUGGCAUACAAAAUGAAAAAUCAAAAAAACCCAAGAUGCACAGUGAUUAGAGGAAAGGAAAAGGAGGCAUAAGCCACUAAAACUCCUUGUGUUUGAGAUGAAGAGAAAUGAUAGCACAAUACCCGAUUAUCCGCUAGAAGAAGAAUCCAGUGGACGAUCACGCUGUGCCUUGGCGUGGGCCAAGGAGGACUGCCGACUUUGAUGAUCAUGGGUUCAAGAGCUGUCUGUGGGGGUGACCCUGGGCAGCUGGAGGAAAUUGUGGGAGAGGAAGAAUGAGAAUUUUCCAAAUUCUCAGUUAUGCAUGCACACACAAAAAUCUGAUUGAGAAGAGUAAGCUCUAAAAUUGUUUACUGAAUUGUUCUUAUUGUUGAGUAUGAUUAAAGUGUGGCAAUAUUAAAAAAUGACCCAAAAAACCCCCAUAAAGCUAAAAAUCUAACCUAGCAUAACUACAUAGAGAAUGUUGCCUGGUUCUUUCAAUUACUAGCUUUUGAAUAACUUUCAGUAUCCAGUGAGGUCUAUGUGUAUAUACUCCUGUUAUCCAGCAGCCUGUUUAUUAAAAAGUUCUUAAUGCAUGAAUUAAACUAGAUAAUCAAGUUAGUUACCAGGUUAGCCAGAUGAGCUCUGGGAAGUACUGAAAGUUACCAUUUUGGGGAGAAAUUUCUCAGCUCAGAUUAGAACACUUGUCAAACUUAGUGGCAGGAGACUAGGUCUGAAUCAAUAUUUCUGCCUGGAAGUCACAUAACCUCUAUGAGAGAUUAAUGUGGUUAGUAUUGGACUCUGUAUUCUCUAUCAGCUAAGUAUGUGCACUUGUCAUUCAUAUUUUGUUUUCAGCUUGUAACACUGACAGAAAAAUCUCUGUGGAAUAAAGAACCAGUUUCCUGAGUGUAUGAAGCUAUAUUGUAUUUGCAUAUUUCCGGGAUUUAAAGGGAAGGGUGUUUUUACUUGAAACACUAUUUAUCUGUUUGUUCUAAUUUUUUGGAACUGAAAAACAUUGAUAGCUAUGAACAUGUCUGGCUCACAUUUUAUUUCUGCUGAUUCUAAUUUUGUUGAUUAAAUAGUACAAGAAAUGAGAAUUUUUUUUUUUUAUUAAAUGACCGAUCUCCAAGAAUUUUUUCGUAAAAGCCCUGAGUAAAAUUUGUCACUUUUGCCAAAGCCACUUUUCUUUUUGCAUUACAUAAUGUGUUUAUGGAAGUACACUGUAAGCUAAUUCUGUAAGGUCAGGUAAGCGCUUGCAGCUUUACCCCUGUUAAUUCAAGAAUAGGGUUGGGCAUAUGCUAUGUAUGCUUGGUUGGUCGAGGGUGCAUGAUGGAAAGGAAUUCUGCAGGUACCACGAAAUCACUUGUUGAAACACAUCGAUUUCAUGACAACCCCACCCGACAGCUACUGGUCAGAGCCUUGAAAGAAAUGGGGUUCUUUUAGCUCACCUUGUUUGCUUUAUUUUGUACAUGAUUAUAAUCCUCUUAACAAAUAACCAAUGAAACAAAAACUUAACCUCAUUUAUAAUAGCGGUGAUUGGAAAUACCAGAGUGCCCCACAGCCUAUGAUUGGGGAAGUCAUGAUGCAGCAGUCUGACUGAGUGCUAGACAGCCAUUUAAUGCUGUGUAAGACCAAUGGCUUUGGGGAAUUUUCGUAAUAUAUUACAAAUUUAAAAAGCAGACUCUAUACCUGUACUUAAUGCAAAUGUGUAUUUAAAAAAGUUUUGAAGGAUACACUUUAAGUAUCAAUAGUGUUGUCAAGUGGGAAGAUUGCUCUUUACGCUUUCUGUUCCUUCCUGAUUUUUCUCUGUGUGCAACUUAAUUCAUUAUUUUAAAUAACAACAUGUAAAUGUUCUAAUAAAAUUUCGUAAAUAAAAGUAUUAAGGAAAAAAGGAAACAUACUUCCUGUAUUUUUGUUAUUAUAGCACUAUUCAAAGUAUUAUAGAGUUGUUAAAUAUGCAUUAUAUAUACAUAUAUACAAAAUUAUAUAUAUGAUUAUAGGAUUAUUGAGCAUGUAUGCCACAUACUCUGCUAAGCCCUUCAUGUAAGUUUUUUUAUUGAUUCCUCAGGAUAAUUUAUGAAGUUGAAGGAAAAUAUAAUCAUCCCCACUUUAUAGAUCAGCAAACUGAAGCUUUAACCGAUUAAGUUUUUUUGCCCUCAGUAAUGCAGCUACUGAGUGACAGAGCCCAGCUUUGAACCAGAAUCUGAGACCCAAGCCCAUGUUCUUAAGCUUUUGCCUCUACCAUCCCAUGACUGGUCUUCCAUGUCUCACUGUGGAAGAAGAUACAAACUUCAUUUGAGCGAAAAUUUUAAGGACUGUCCCAAUUGAAUUGGGUGGUUCACCCCUAUAUUAUAUUCUCAAAUAUCCAUUGACUAAUGAUUAGAUUGUAUUUUGCACAUUUUAUGGAAUGAUGCAAAAUGUAUGUUUCUUUUUAGGAAGGAAAAGGUAUAUGUGGGUUGUAUCAGUGAUUGUGAUUUUGAGAUAUAUACUGACAGAUUUCCUUCCUUUUGGGGUGUAUGUGUGUUUGAAGUUUGGAAUAAGCACAGUGAACCGCACAGGGCAAACCAUUUGUGCUACAAGGUCAUGAUGUGACCCUCUGAGGCUGUGCAGCUGACGUUACCAGAGGGCAUAUGGAAGGAAGGGCACUGCUAACACAGAAUCUCAUGUGUUUAGGAACCCAAGAUGGGGUGUAUAUGAGAACACUGUUUCCAGGACCAGCCAAGGCACCCAUCAGCUCUGGUGUCACAUUUGAGCCUCGGUGAACUUUUGUGACAUCCCUUCAAGAGUACCGUUCUUUCCCACUCUCUAUAAGAUUUCCAAAAGCACAUCUCAGUAACUAAUCCACAGAAAAUGCAGUCUUGUCUGGCAUUAUCUUCUGCCUGCUUUUCUGAAAUCAAGUACAACUAACUUCAAUCAAAUCAUAAUAAAAAAUUGUGCUAAGAGAAUAAAAUUACACUCAACAUAGCUAGUCAGAGAGCUCUUUAGGCUGUUAAGCGUUUAGCGGAUACAUAUUUGCAUACCCAAGUAUAAUGUUGCAGAUUUUUAAGCCAUUGAAUGAAUGAAUAUUUAAGAAAAAGAACUCGCGAUUGUUUUAGUUCAUGCGCAUAGUUUCCAGCACAUUUAUACUCACCCAUCCUGUGUGGAGGCGAGGCGGAAAGCCUCAUCACUACUAUAUGAAGCUAACAGUGGUUCUUAUUUUUAUGUUUUACACACCACACACACAAUAUGCACACAGAGUAUUGUUUUGUGGGGUGAGUUAUGUGUAGGAGUCUGCGAGAUCUAUUUGCAUCCUGGCUCUGUCCUAGUUGUGUAUCCUUAGGCGCAUCAGUGAACUAUCCUGUAUAUCUCAUCGACUUUAAAAUGGAGAUGCCGUUCAUAGCCUAGUUUAUUAAACAAACACUUAUUUAUUAAAUAUAUUAAUAUGUCAGGGAGGCAUCAUUCCUUCUCUUUUUUUCACUUGCCCCUGUGAGCACUAUUUGAGUCUUUGGAAAGAUUUUUUUUUUCCAUUGGUGACUCAAAGUUUAAUGGUUUGUCUCUCUGCUCCACUCCUAUUUUGUGCCCUAGAUUUUUCUCAGUUCUCCCUUUUGUAUUUUCCUGCUUUUUAAGAAAGAGUUUUUUGAAAAUUAACAGAAGACCCUCCAUUUUGCAUCUAAUGCAAUAAAAUAAAUACAUGUUUGGAAGUCAUAAGUUUUUUCAGUUCAGAAAUUAUGUACAUAUAACAUGCAUCCCUUAAGCAUGUAGCUCCCUGAGUUUCGAGAAAUGACUAUAUCCAUGUAUCAAGCACCCCAGUCAAGAUAAAGAACAUUCCCGUCACCUUGGGAAGUUUGGCAAAAGCUUGUCUCCGGAUAUGGUUCAUUUCUCCAGAUUCUGACUUGAUUUUCUUGCUUUGGAGCAGGAACAUCAUCUCCUCAUAUUGUCUCUGCCUCGGAAUAGACUUUCUAAAUGAGCCCCUUUCGCUGAUGACGUGCUUUUUGAAUGGGAGACAGUUUACUUGCUUUUUCUGUAUGAUUUUUCCUGGUUCCCCGCCCCCCCCCCCAAUGUCUCUCUUGCCAUUACUAAAUUCCGCUGGUAAUAUGUUUUAUGGUUUAACACCACUAUGAUUCAGCCUCCAAAGAGGUCACAUAAGGGUUAUGAAGUGUUUCAUGUCAAACAUUUCGGUGUUGUCCCUGACAUUAUCUGACCCCUGCCAUUACUCAGAAUUUACAUAGUUCUUGUGCAUUCAAGUCUUUCUCCCCCUCAACAAUUAGUAAAAUGUACUGAAAGUCAGGAGAUUGUCAAUUGUAGGAAAUUCAACUCUGACAAACCAGCUAUUCCUAUGCAGUGGAAAUAUUUUGCUUAUUUGCCUUAUUUUUUUUCCUUCUGCACAUACUUGAUGAUUCUUUAAUUAGUACAGAACUCUCCAUCUUGUGUUUUAAGUUAAUUAUCUGUGAUUUUUUAAAAGCCUUCAUUAGAUACACAAAGGAUAACCAUAAGUAAAGUUUUUAAAGUAUUGAAAGUCGCCAGCCAUAAUUCUAUUUUUAUUUUUUGAAUCAGUGACUAAACCAAUACUUUUGGAAUAAUAUGUCAAAUGAGCAUUGCUUAUUGGAACUAUUUUAAAAAGAUCUAAAGCAUGUUUGUUCUACCUUCCCUGUGUAUUUACACCUCCUCGAUUUUGCUUUAUGAGUAGCAAAAGCAAACUGUCACUAUUUGCUGUAAAUUGAAGCUUUUAAUAAUUAUGUCUGUUCCUACCACAUUUGUCAGCUUUGAAUAUUCUGUCAGUAGAAAAUAAAAAUAGCAGGGAAACUCAGCAGCCGUGACAUGGAGAAUUUAUCUGCUUAUGCUAAAGGAAGGUAAAAAAAAAAAAAAAAAAAAAAUAUAUAUAUAUAUAUAUAUAUAUAUAUAUAUAUGUAAUCUUGAAGGGUGGGCAUUUGGCAUUUUUCCUUCAAAUGAUGUAAAUUUGAACUGGCUCUUCCUUGAAUAAAUUUUAGAUGAAAAGUUGGCAAAACUAAAUGAAUAAGUUUCAUCACUAAACACAGAGCACCUUUUUAACCUAGAGAGAAUAGAGCACCUUUUUAACCUAGAAAGUGAAGAAUAAAGAGGCUAUUUCAGAUCACUUAUUCAGUCAUAUAUGCCUUGUUUGACAUAAGCUUGAAAAAUAAAUUUGGAAGUAGAUCGAAAGAAACAGGAUAGCGCAGUAGUAAAAACUUGGACGCAUAUAGCAUUUAAAUUUUUAAACUAUUUCAUAGUAAAAAUUCAUGUGCGGAGGAUCAUCUUGGAUAUGUGACAAUAAAAAAUUAAUUUAUCUAAUAAAGAUGAUUCAAGUAAAUCAAAUCUAAAUAAAUUCCAUAGUUCACAUUUUUUGUUUGUAAAUCAGGUGUGUCCGUUAUAAAUAUUAAAAACAUGAAUGAAUAUAUAUUAUGAAAAAUUCACUGCUUUCUUUCUUUUAGAUAAAAACAUAGUCUUUCAGGACUUUCUCUUGUUGCUGAUUUUCAGUUAAAUUUAAAUUCAGUUCUUGCUGUUGUGCCUCUUUCUUUUCUGUACCUGUCUGUUUGUAAGUCUCUUCCUGAAAGAGACCUUUAUCAUUAUUGUCAUCAACAAAAGUGAACAUUUAUAAAGCACCUAUUGGGUGCCAUGUUUGAUAAGCAUGGACGGUAGGUCAGUAUUUUGAGUAGGAAGAAAAACAUUGUUUUUUUUUUUUUUUUUAAAGAUUUUAUUUAUUUAUUUGUGUGAGAGAGAGCACAUGAGAGGGGGGAGGGGCAGAGGGAGAAGCAGACUCCCUGCUGAGGAGGGAGCCCGAUGUGGGACUCGAUCCAGGGACUCCAGGAUCACGACCCGAGCCGAAGGCAGUCGCCUAACCAACUGAGCCACCCAGGCGCCCGAAGAAAAACAUUGUUAAAACCGUGCUUCACUGUGCUACUGUACAGUCUUUAUUUAAACCUCUGUUGGAACAGAAAGGUGAUUAAUGAGACACUGUGAGCCUGCUUAUUAUCCCGUCAACCUUGUGAUGUGCCUGCAAAUACGGAGCAUCUUUAAAAUAACCAUAAUGAGCAAAGGAGAUGGUCUCUGCUUUUACAGAGUGGACAUGCCUGCAUGUUUUAAUUUAGUUUGGUAUUAGUGUUAUUUCAUUAUUACAGAUUGAGCCUGAGGGAAAGAGCAAGUUAAUUUUGUCACAUGUAAUGAGAUAAUUGCGUACAUGUAAUUUGACAAAGCAUUCUACAGGUGUGUUAUGCAGUGAUGAGAAAUGCCUACUCCUGAUUCAUCCUUUGUAGGGAGUGGAGUUGGAAAAGAGUUUCAGAGAGCAGAAUGUGUUUUGUUUUUUAAACAGAAGUCCUAAAAUAGUGUUAAAUACUAUAAAAAUUUUUGAUGGUGGGAUGCCUGGGUGGCUCAGUCAUUAAGCAUCUGCCUUCAGCUCAGGUCAUGAUCCCAGGGUCCUGGAAUCGAGCCCCGCAUCGGGCUCCCUGCUCGGCGGGAAGCCUGCUUCUCCCUCUCCCUCUCCCCCUGCUUGUGUUCCCUCUCUCGCUGUGUCUCUCUCUGUCAAAUAAAUAAAAUCUUAAAAAAAAAAAAAAAGUUUUGAUGGUGUCAGGUUGGGAAUUUAUUUUAUCACUGUGUGUGAGUAGGUUUAUUUGCUUGUUUCCAAUAAAUGUCCUUAUGUCUUAAAAAAAAUUUCAUUUCAAUCAAGAUUAAGGAGUGAUUUCCAGUAAAAUUGGGCUGCUAGGCAAACAUUAAUGAUUUGUGAAGAGAGUUGUGUUUUUUUCCUGCAGAGGACUUUCAUAUUGAGAUCAGUGAAGAAUUUGGUUGUGGUCUGUCCACCCCCCCUACAAAAGUCACUUGCCUAUGAAGAACUUGGUAGGGAAGAGAGGAGAGGAUAAUUCUCCUCCGCAUUUUUUCUGUCCUGAUUUGCAAGAUAGUGGUAACAAAACCUAUGAUUUAGUUUUCUUUCUUUUUGUGCAACUGUGUAGCAAAGUUAAAAUUUUUGUUUUUGUCUUCUUUUAUUAGCUCUGGUUUUAAGUACCUCUUAGGAUUUACAGAGCUCUGUCUUGUGUUCUUUCAAGGUUUUUAAAUGCUGAUAAGAUUCUUCCCUUUGGAGGUGCUUUUUCUUUUUAAUUUUGUUAAUUGAUUUGGAUAAAUAAGUUAUCCCAGUUGUUUGGAUACUGAAGGCAUAAGAUGCGUAUCUCAGGGAAGGAGAGUGAUUUAAUUCCCAGUUUUCACACAUGCUGAAUAUGGUGCCUUAGUGAUUCACAAGGACCCCUUCUAAUCUCCGUUCUGUUAGGGUGUUUAUCUUGCUUAUGAAUAAAUUUGAGUGAAAAAGCUUUUUAAGUUAAAGCUGCAUUGAUGGUUCAAAAAAUAAAUUAAAAAUAAAAAUGAGAUUAAGUCUUUGAUUUAGGAGGUUCAUAAGGUUCUUGUGGUAUUUUUUUAAAGAAAUAUUUAAAUGGAUUUCCCUUAACUCUUUAAAAGUUUCAGGACAGAAUCUCAUUUUAUAGGACACGUAGCAGAAAGAAGAGGAGUGUAGCACCUCCUCAUAAAUAUAUGGAAGCUAAAAGUCCUCUGGCAUCACUAAUGCUUUUAUACUUUGUGACUUGGACAGACUCAACACUUUCUACCCCAUUGUUUACUGUUUUUACUAGUUAGGUUAAGCAAAGCUAGUAAUUAGAAAACAGCAUCUUGCUUUUCAACAGUAAUUAUGGAAACUCUUGUUAUAAAUCUUUUAUAUUGAAUCCAGGUACAGUUCAUUCUCUGUAAGCCAUUGCUU